GGGGAAUAUUGCACAAUGGAGGAAACUCUGAUGCAGCAACGCCGCGUGAGUGACGAAGGCCUUCGGGUUGUAAAGCUCUGUCAUCUGGGACGAUAAUGACGGUACCAGAGGAGGAAGCCACGGCUAACUACGUGCCAGCAGCCGCGGUAAUACGUAGGUGGCGAGCGUUGUCCGGAAUUACUGGGCGUAAAGGAUGCGUAGGUGGUAAUUUAAGUCAGAUGUGAAAUACCCGAGCUUAACUUGGGCACUGCAUAUGAAACUGGAUUACUAGAGUGCAGGAGAGGAAAGCGGAAUUCCUAGUGUAGCGGUGAAAUGCGUAGAUAUUAGGAAGAACACCAGUGGCGAAGGCGGCUUUCUGGACUGUAACUGACACUGAGGCAUGAAAGCGUGGGGAGCAAAC
RNAcentral lists this ribosomal RNA (400 nucleotides) under uncultured bacterium. Its description in RNAcentral is "bacterial SSU rRNA". It matches the Rfam family "Bacterial small subunit ribosomal RNA", at positions 356 to 773 of the family's 1533-position model. The record is from RNAcentral.